AUCACAUUGAUACAGGGUUCCUGUACGAUCACCAAAGUUAAGCAACAUCGAUACUGGUCAGUACCUAGAUGGGUGACCUCUUGGGAAUACCAGGUGCUA
This is a non-coding RNA of Acanthosepion pharaonis, 99 nucleotides long. Lineage: Eukaryota; Metazoa; Mollusca; Cephalopoda; Sepiida; Sepiidae. The record is from the annotation of a GenBank genome assembly.